This 378-nucleotide ribosomal RNA is filed under the name Amalda optima. Its description in RNAcentral is "partial 12S ribosomal RNA". Lineage: Eukaryota; Metazoa; Mollusca; Gastropoda; Neogastropoda; Olividae. The record is from RNAcentral.
UCUUAGAUGUAAAUUUAAUAUUUAAUUUACCAGAGUACUAUGAAUCAUAUAAGGUUUAAAACUCAAAGGGCUUGGCGGUGUUUUAGACCUUUCAGGGGAACCUGUCUCAUAAUCGACAAUCCACGUUAAAUCUAACCUUAUCUUUGCAUUUCAGUUUGUAUACCGUCGUCGUCAGGUAACUUUCAAAAAUUUAGAAGUUAGCAAUGAAAGCAAUUUAAAUUAAAACGUCAGAUCAAGGUGCAGCCAAUAGGGAGGUGAAGAUGGGUUACAAUUAUUUAAUUUAUAAAAACGGAUAAAAUAAAUGAAAAUAUUUUAUGAAGGAGGACUUGAAAGUAAUGCUAACUAUAAAAUUAGUUUGAAUAAGGCUCUGGAACGUGC